AAGACCCUACGGGAGGCAGCAGUGGGGAAUAUUGGGCAAUGGGCGCAAGCCUGACCCAGCAACGCCGCGUGAAGGAAGAAGGCCCUCGGGUUGUAAACUUCUUUUAUUCGGGACGAAACAAAUGACGGUACCGAAUGAAUAAGCCACGGCUAACUACGUGCCAGCAGCCGCGGUAAUACGUAGGUGGCAAGCGUUAUCCGGAUUUACUGGGUGUAAAGGGAGCGUAGACGGCCAGACAAGUCUGAAGUGAAAAUCCAGCGCUUAACGUUGGAAGUGCUUUGGAAACUGCAGGGCUGGAGUGCAGG
Molecule: ribosomal RNA, 305 nt
Filed under: uncultured bacterium
Lineage: Bacteria
Description: bacterial SSU rRNA
Rfam family: Bacterial small subunit ribosomal RNA
Source: RNAcentral